AACUCCUUUCCAUUUUCUCUUUUUCUUUUACUCAUAAUUCUUAUUUUUUUUAUUUAUAUUUUAUUUAUUACUGUAUUUAAAUUUAAAUUACUGUAUUAUUUUUUCAUAGAUGUAUCUAGAGUGGAGAGAUGUGGGUAUUCAAUUACAUCUCUUGCUAAUUUUCAAUCAAGUCAUUACUCUGUGUUUCAAAACAUUUUGAAUUUUAUAUUCAAAGUUAUAUAAUCUUGAAAGUCUUCAUAGAGGCCUUGAAAGUUUUGAUUGGUCUUGAGUGAUUUCUUAAGUAUCGAUAAAAAUUUUGUUUCAACAUAAAUAAUUUUUGUUUAAAUAAAAGUUUUUUUAAUGAUAAAUUGUUAUAUAUUUAUUUAUAAUAUCCCAAUAUUUCUAAAUUUUCUUUCUCUGGAAGAAAGUUUAUUAAAACGUUUUUUAAGAUACUAAAGAUCUUUAAGACUUUCAAGAUUGUAUAAACUUCGAAUAAUAUUCAAACUGAUAUGAACCGAAUUUCUCACAAUAUAUUAGAAUUUAAUACAAAGUAUCUUGAUUUCCAUUACUAGGUGUAUCUUGCGUAUUGAUUUUAAAUUAUUUCCUUGGUUUUACAUUGUAUUAUUUAUAAUAUAUAUUUUUCAAGAUUUGUAAAUUUUGUUAAAAAUCUUCUCUUUUAUGCAUACAAUUUAUAUCUUUCUCUAUCUCUUUUUCUAAAACAAAAAAUAAUAAUUUAAUUAGUAUAACUUAGUAUAUCUUUCAAAAGUUUAAAUCAUAUAAAAACAUUAUAAAACAAGCAAAUGGUAAGCGCAAAAUAUAUCUUUGUUGGUAUUGCGAAGGUUAAGAACAUAGUUAUUUUUCAGUCAAUUAUGCCAUAUUGCAGUACAACUUGUAUAUUUGCAUAUUGAAGUAAAAUUUCUCGCUACUUAGAGAUCUAUUUAAAGUACAUUAAAGUUGAUACAAAAAAGAAUGGACCAUAGAAAUUUAAGAUUUUUACAUUUUCGAGUUUGAUUGAAUUUAUACAAGGUGGUCCGGUAAUUCUGGGACACCCUGUAUAUAGUCACAAUUUUGAAUUUUUGCUUUGUCUUUUAGUGCUUGGAAGUUCUCAACUUUCAAGAUUUUUCUUUCCACAGUUAUUUCGUACAAUUAGUAAUGUUACAUUUGUUAAUUUGUGGAAAUCGAAAAAUCUAUUUUUUAAUAUUUUUAUUAAAUUAUUAAGAACAGAAUGAAAUUUUGAACUGAUAUAUCGUGUUGCGUUGUUCCCGAUCGAAUAUAACAAUUGCCAUUUUUAGAAAUAAGUAUCCUAUGAAACACUAAACGCAAACAAUUAUCAAUAAUUAUUUAUUUCUUUGAAGAAAAAUUCUUUUUAUUUAUGAAAUAUAUAUUGCACGUCAAUUUAUAUAGAUCUUUGCAUUGUGAUCAUCCUAAACAUUUCCUUUGUCUUUUUUUUUUUUUGUUAUAGAGAUAUUUCGGAGGAGAAGAGGGGUUGUGAAACAAAAGAGCGAAUCUUAAUAAUAAUUUUUUUCAGAAUCACAGCUUGUGAGAUAAAAGAACAUCUCUUAACAUUUUUUGAUGGUUAAGAUAUCUCAACAUUGCAACAUUAAUUAAUGCAAAUUAUGUUUACGUUUGCAUCAGACAGUAAUUUGAUUCGUAUAAUCUAUACCUUUUAAGCAUUCAAUUAUCGGUGAAUUGAAUAAAUUUAUUUGUGAUUUUUGUGUCGUAAUUCUAUUAAUUAAUUCUUUUCUGGUGUCGAGUUCGUACACAACACACGCACCAUACAUUUACAAACUUAAAUACUUCAAUGAUUAACCGACCAGCUAAUCAGUUUUUAUGAGUCUAAUUAUGUAUUAUUGUAAAUAUAUAUGUACGUAUAUCACACUGACAUAUUGAUGGACGAUCAAUAUAUUCACUGAUUAAUAUGCUUUUUAUUAUCGUCUAUUAUACCUAAUGCAACUGUAUGAAUACAGUCAUUUUUACGAAUGAGUAUGAGGAACUGAAAAAUCAAAGUAUGAAACCUGCAAAUUAUAGUAAUUUAUAUAUGCAAGAAUAUGUAUCGAUGAAGUGAAAUAUAUUGAUUAAUCUUUUCGAACGAAAAUAAAGGAUGGUAUCUUGUAGUUUUAGUCAUGCCUGUGAUUAAUACAUGCAAUUAUUCAUUAUAGUGAUUGUAUAAUCGUAUAGAUUAAUUAAUACAAAGAGCGACAAUGAAUAUCCUGUAACUUUUUUUCGAUUUUCCUUAUGAUAGCCCACUGAAAAUUUUAUGCAUACGUAGAGAGUGUAAAUGUCUUCUAUAAUAAUAAAAUGAUAUUUUAUACGAACUAUAAACCAAAAAAA
This is a long non-coding RNA of Formica exsecta, 2310 nucleotides long. RefSeq lists it as uncharacterized. The transcript is spliced from 2 exons. The record is from RefSeq and is a predicted model, not a curated record. Lineage: Eukaryota; Metazoa; Arthropoda; Insecta; Hymenoptera; Formicidae.